CGCCACAGCCAUAUCACCCUGCAGCCCAAGACCGGUUACUCACUAAAGCUAAGCAGGGCUGAGCCUGGUCAGUACCUGGAUGGGAGACCACUAGGGAACACUAGGUUGCUGUUGGAA
This is a non-coding RNA of Danio rerio (zebrafish), 117 nucleotides long. NCBI's taxonomy places the organism in Eukaryota, Metazoa, Chordata, Actinopteri, Cypriniformes, Danionidae. The record is from Rfam.